Molecule: ribosomal RNA, 253 nt
Filed under: uncultured bacterium
Lineage: Bacteria
Description: partial 16S ribosomal RNA
Rfam family: Bacterial small subunit ribosomal RNA
Source: RNAcentral
UACGAGUGCCCCAAGCGUUAUCCGGAAUCAUUGGGCGUAAAGGGUGUGUAGGUGGCGAUGUUAGUCUUCUGUUAAAUCUCCCGGCUUAACCGGGAAACUGCGGAGGAAACGGCAUUGCUUGAAGAUGCGAGGGGUGAAUGGAACUCAUGGAGUAGGGGUGAAAUCCGUUGAUAUCAUGGGGAACACCAAAAGCGAAGGCAAUUCACUGGCGCAUUCUUGACACUGAAACACGAAAGCGUGGGUAGCGAACGGG